Molecule: long non-coding RNA, 718 nt
Filed under: Hordeum vulgare
Lineage: Eukaryota; Viridiplantae; Streptophyta; Magnoliopsida; Poales; Poaceae
Description: long non-coding RNA (HVUL_LNC021534)
Source: RNAcentral
CAUUCGGGGUUGGCUGGUUGUAUGUAUAUGCUUGGUUAACUGAUCGAGGUGGCGUGCGUGCGUGGCUGUUUGCAGGUCUCGGCACCGGGAGGGACGGCUCCGGUGGUGUACGGCGGCGGGAGCAAUGGUGGUGGCGUGCCGUCGACGUGGCAGGUGAGCGGACGCGGCCUCUGUCGCUGCUCCUCCCUUCUUUCAAUCCCUACCUUUUUUUUGUUUUUUUCCCCUUGUUGGCUUGUGAGUUCGAUCUGUGCACCCUUUUUUGACGCUGAUUGCUUCCCGCAGUGCAAGCGGGCGAUGGCCACCGAGGUCACGUUCGUGCUGCCGUCCGCCGCGCCCAAGGCCGCGUCGUCAUCGCCUGGCGGCGCCGCCGGCGACGAGACCGGAGGGUAACUAGGCGCUGCAUGUCUACAUCCCUGCUCUGUUAAUUUCUUUUGGCUAUUAACUGUACUAGUAAUAUCUAUCUAUAAGUAUUGAUGAGGGCCUGCUCUGGGUGAUGCUGCUCCCACGCUUGGGCUCUAAAUUAGAGCUCUUUUAUGGUACCCACUCAACCCAUUAGUCAAGUACAGCGACGCUGGUAGAGUUCCAGCGGCCACUGCCGAGCCUCCUUCUCAAUUAGGUCCGACAACCAUGAUGCGUUGCGGACGUCAAGGUGAUAUCCACCGGCGACGCUUGCUGGCGCGGGCUCGCCACCGUCAUCCACAAGCUCGCUGAUGCCGUC